Molecule: long non-coding RNA, 1946 nt
Organism: Danio rerio (zebrafish)
Lineage: Eukaryota; Metazoa; Chordata; Actinopteri; Cypriniformes; Danionidae
Source: Ensembl
GGACACUUGGACAUUCAAAGUGCGAGCGCCCAGCGACUGGUUGGUAUUAGCUACUUAGGAUCGGUGAUUUCUCAGUUUGGUCCGUGUUCGAAAGAAAAGAGGGAAAUCAUCUAACCGCAAAUAUGGAGCUCUGUUGAUGCUCUGUGAUAUGCUGGCCUUCACGGCGGAUAAAGACAGAUUUCCAAAGAUGAUCUGAUAUGUGGCUUUAGGUGGAAAAACACACACACAUGGUUUGCUUAUGAUUAUCCAGACAUACUGUUACAUAGAAUGUAAAAAAGCACCUGUAUCUGUGUUUACAUGUCACCCUCCUGCACUGUACAUUGAGCGUCACUCUAUCUGCUCUAUCUGUCUCUAAAGGAAAGAAUGCAGCCAUCAUUCCUGAACACACAUUCCUCAAAGCAAGCAAGACCCUUUUUCACAUAAUAAAACAGUAGAUUUUGAUAAAUAUAGUCAGGUUACUAGAGCUUUAAUAAAAAAGAAUCAGAGAAACAGCUUGUUUUCAAAAGUGAAAGAGGACCGAUUAUAGGCAGCUGUGGCACUCCAAACGUUCCUCUCCACCCCACGGUUAGGACAGCAGUUAGUGAGGGACUUCCUGCAUGGAAAGUUGUGUAUGUUUUCCUUCAGUGAAUUGAACAUCCUGCAGAUCUUAAAUUCCAGUCAGCAGUAAACUCUCUGACCUCUGAGCACAAAAUUAGGCACAUCAUAUAAGCAAGAGACAGCAUGGAAAGGAAGGACUGCGAAGCAAGACAAAAUGACAGAGAUAAAAGAAACAAUGAGAGACUAUUGCAGUACAACUUUUUAAAAUUACUUAUUUUAGGAAUAGGAAUGUUUAAUAAAUGAUAAAUUAUUAGCUAAAUAACCAAAACAGUUACUUUCCAUUGGAAGUAUUUAACAAGAGUUUAUUUUGUUUGUAAAAGUACAAAUAAUAAUAAUAAUAAAUAAUAAAGUUUUUUUUUUUUCCUGACCUGAUUAUUAAGCAAAUUAUGUUACCUGAUGGCAAACAUAUUUUACUUUUAAGCUAGUCACUGGACAAAAAUCAAUUUAUUAUGACAAAUGCAUGCAACAAGAGGGUCAUCUAAUACUGUUAGUCCAUUCUAUGUUUGAAAACACAAUGAUGUUAAGAGCCACGAAAGUGUCAGAUUUCAUCUACUAUUACAUGGACAGCAUUGUCAUUUACAACAUAUGCGGUGAACCCUGUCUGCCAAUGUGUUUAUAGAGCUAUUAUCAAUUGACUGAUGAAACAAACUGCUCACCAGUCAACAUAUGUUCCUGAUUUGCUGGAUUUAUUUGAUUUGAAACCAUGUGUUUUCUGUUUUGAAAUGAUCAUGGAGGUUUGUCACAUAGCAUUCUUUGUGGAUCACAAGCAUUAGAUUGUUGGUAAUACUAUAAUUUUACUAUUGAAAGUUUUUUUUUUUUUUUUUUUUUGGAAUCAAGCGGUGGGGAAUAUUCCUGGAGAACAGAUGGGCAUUUCUAUCCACGGAGUGCAUUUUCUUAAUAUACUGUACAGGGCUUUAUAGUAGACACUAGAUGUGAACUGAAAUGUGUUGUUUCUUCAUCCCCAUACUGCAUUUAUAAAAUAUAUUCAUUAGCUAAGCAUUCAAUGUUUGUGAUCUAUGUCAUUUUGUCCUGAAAUAUCCCCAUUUUGCUAGUCAUAUAUACGAAAGAGCUCAAAGGUAAGUGGCCUAAACCUUGUUAGCCUUAAAGGCUUGUACUUUUUUUUUUUUUUCACCAACCCCUGGGGUUUACCUACUACACAGGUGUGCAUCAACUGAAUAUAAAUAAAUAUAUAUAUAUAUAUAUAUAUAUAUAUAUAUAUAUAUAUAUAUAUAUAUAUAUAUAUAUAUAUAUAUAUAUAUAUAUUUUUUUUUUUCCCUGCACAAACUGUAUCAUGUUUAUUGAGAUAUGUAAAAGCCUCUAAAUAAAUAAUUUUUCAUAUGUGCAUAUUA